This 21-nucleotide microRNA is filed under the name Drosophila virilis. Its description in RNAcentral is "dvi-miR-9548-3p". The record is from miRBase by way of RNAcentral. Lineage: Eukaryota; Metazoa; Arthropoda; Insecta; Diptera; Drosophilidae.
CUGUGACUACUAUUUGCUUAG